CCCAAGGACACAUCACACCAAUCCGCCAAUUCUGUAAACGACUCAUCUCUAAAGGCCUCAAAACCACUCUCACUCUCACCACUUUCAUCUUCAACUCCAUCAAACCUGACCCAUCUGGUCCAGUCUCCAUAGCCACCAUCUCCGACGGCGAUGACGAUCACGGCUUCGACCCAUCUGGCUCCAUCCAUGACUACCUCCAAAACUUCAAAACCUUCGGCUCCAGAACCAUAGCAGACAUCAUCCGCAAACACCAGACAAGUGAUAACCCCAUCACUUGUAUUGUCUAUGAUGCUUUCAUGCCAUGGGCACUCGACGUUGCCCGAGAGUUUGGUUUAGCUGCUACCCCUUUCUUUACGCAGUCAUGUGCUGUUAACUUCGUUUACUAUCUUUCUUACAUAAACGAUGGAAUCUUGAAGCUUCCCGUUGUAGACUUGCCUUUUCUUGAGCUCCAAGAUUUGCCUUCUUUUUUGUCUGUUUCUGGAUCUUAUCCUGCUUACUUUGAGAUGGUGCUCCAACAGUUUACAAACUUUGAAAAAGCUGAUUUCAUACUCGUUAAUACCUUCCAAGAGCUGGAGCCUCAUGUUAGAUCUCUCUUCUUACAACUUUCUCAACCAUGUCGUUUUCUUGUUUAUGUCCUAAUUACUAUGUAUUUGUCCUAAUUAGUCUUUUCCGUUACAGGAGAAAGAGUUGUUGUCAAACGUUUGUCAUGUAUUGACAAUUGGUCCGACUAUUCCAUCGAUGUACUUAGACCAAACGAUCAAAUCAGACACGGCCUACGAUUUGAAUAUCUUUGAUUCAAAAGAUGCUGCCUUCUGCACUAGCUGGCUGGACACAAGGCCACAAGGGUCGGUGGUGUAUGUAGCAUUUGGUAGCUUGGCUGAGCUGAACAAUGCGCAGAUGGAGGAGCUUGCUUCAGCAGUAAGCAACUUCAACUUCUUGUGGGUUGUCAGAGGUUCAGAGGAGGCAAAACUGCCAUCAGGGUUUCUUGAGACAGUGGGUAAAGACAAGGGUUUGGUCUUGAAAUGGAGUCCUCAGCUUGAAGUUCUAUCAAACAAAGCCAUCUGUUGUUUCUUGACUCACUGUGGCUGGAACUCAACUAUGGAGGCAUUAACUUUUGGAGUACCCAUGGUGGCUAUGCCUCAGUGGACCGAUCAACCUAUGAACGCAAAGUACAUACAAGAUGUGUGGAAGGCUGGAGUCUGUGUGAAGAUAGACAAUGAGAGUGGGAUUGCGAAGAGAGGGGAGAUUGAGUUUAGCAUUAAGGAAGUGAUGGAAGGAGAGAAGAGCGGAGAGAUGAAGGAGAAUGCGAAGAAAUGGAGAGACUUGGCUGUCAAGUCACUCAGUGAAGGAGGCUCUACAGAUGUUAACAUUGACACAUUUGUAUCAAAGGUCCAGAGCAAAUAAGUUAUCAGAUGAAGCAGCAAAUAUCUCUUCUAUAAUGUCUUAUUGUGUCAGUCUUUCGUUCAGUGCAAUUUUAUGUUGAUUCUUCAUUUGGUUACUUCCCAAUAUUACAAUGUUUUCUACCAUAUUGUCUUUGUUUUAAUAGAUUUGCUGCUUUCAUGUGUUUAUCAUCCCUCUUCAGUACUAUCCAUUUUUCGAUUUAACUAUUUUGGCAUUUCAGUAACAACGAACAGGAACUAGGCUCAAUAGGCAGAUAUUGAUCCUAGUUCUCUUGCAUCACCAUGAAUGGCCAUCUUCUUCUGGCAUUUGACAUGUAGGAUUUCUAGCAACCAGAGAUUUAUAUAUUCUUGCCUUCCACCUGAUUUGUUAAUUCUGUUACAACCCUGCCAUUAAGUUUGCGUCUGAAUCAUCAUCUACAGAUUAUUUGAAAGAGCCAAGAUUAUUAUUCUGAAACAAUCCCAGCUUGAAGUUCUAUCAAACAAAGCCAUUGGUUGUUUCUUGACUUAUUGUGGCUGGAACUCAACUAUGGAGGCAUUGACCUUUGGAGUUCCCAUGGUGGCUAUGCGUCAAUGGACCGAUCGCAAGAACGAUGACUGAGAUACCAAAAGCAUGCAGAUCAGAAGAUGAGGGGAAAGUGACUUGAUAGAUCUAAGUGGGUUGAUAGAUUGAAAAUAAAAUUCCAGUGUUGGCAAAGACUAGCUUGAGUAUUGGUGAGGACGAGAGGAUAUGAACUCAUCCAGAGAGAAGGAGCUAUCAAACGAUGCAACAGUUAGAAAGAUCCGGUACAGAAGGUGGUGUAUCGAUGUUUUAUAGGCUGAUAGCACUAACGUGUCUUCAUUGAUGUUUAUUUUCGUUUAGUUUCUAAUUAUACAUUAUAUAUAGGGACUCUUAUAUAAUAUAUAUAUAUAUAUAUAUAUAUAUAUAUAUAUAUAUCAUGUUUCAAUGAUGAAAUAUGUUCCUAGUUUUCAAAGUGUGAAAACAACAUUCCCGCUUAACCCUAUUUCCAUAACCAUAAUAGCUACGUACAAAUGAACCGAGAAGGAGCAACAAAUCUUGUCCAGUGAUCAUAUUUAAUCCUGAUUUAUCACAAGCAUGAUUCUUAGCAUAAAUGAUAGAUAACAAAGUUGUGACAUGAUCAUGACUAAAACUGAUGAAAACACAUAUUUUGACGGGUUACAAUAUAUGAUUUUAGGCAUGUUAUUUAACAUGUAUAAUUUUUACAAUAUUUCACACUUACAGUUACAGAUUCCAGAGUUACAAUGGGUUUAAGUGGUAAAAUAGAAAACGCACACACACACACAUCAUCUAAUAUUUAUGGAUUUCCUUGAAGAACUAUCGAAGUUUUUGAAAUCUAUUCAAGGCCCAAAACAAAACCGAAAUUUUUUCUUGACCCAAAUAGGGGAUAACUUUUCGAAUUGUUUAAUCUCUGGAGCUAUAUAUAAUAAUUAUUUUGACCCAAAACCAAUAUUUAUUCAUACUAAUCGCUGUCUUCAAGCUACCUCAAACUUAAUCCAUUGAUGUAUAUGUCUAUAUGGAUUGUUUUGCUAAAUCAAUACCCAUUGUAGAUAAUGAACUCUUAUCCUACGUUGCUCAAUGUUCUAGUCGGAAGCAAAUAUUACUGAUUCACGCAUGAGCUACGUACCCAUCAAAAUAUAUGACAAAAACGUCCAGAACAAAUACUAAUUAUCAGUGAUAUUAAAGAAUAACUAGUUUAUGUGAACAAAUUAUCCGUCUCUAGGCUUUUUCCUUCUUAUGGAUUCUUUAAGGCAGCUUCUAAAAAAGAAAAAAUAAUAAGAAAAACUAGAAAUAUAAUGUGGAAAAUGAUCUACUUCUGUUUUUUAUACAAAUACAGCUAUCUUCUGUUUUUUAUACAAACUCACCAACUCAUUUCAAAUAUAGAUCGGAGGAUGGCUCAGUUGUUAUUAAGAUUAAUUUAAAGUUUUUCAGCCACUAACAAUCUUGAAAUUUUGGUUAAAGAUAAUACAAAACCAAACCGUACUCUUCCCUUCGCUCUUCGUCAUCUUCCCUUCGCUCUUCGUCGUUCGUAAACCUUUUCUUUUUUUGAACAAAGAAGUACUCAUUUCUUUCUUCCUUCGCCGUUCACUCUCCUUCAGUUCUUCGUUCAAGGUAAUUUUUUGUUUUUGUUUUUUUCUUAAAAUUCUUUAACCUAUAUAUCGAUUAUAUUUAACUUGAUAUUGUAUUUUCUUACGUAUUUUUAUAGAUGUCUUCUCCUGAUAAUAACGGUUCGGAUUCAGUGGAAAACCAACUCUUCGUGCUGCUAGCGUUUGUAUUGAUAAACAUAGGCUUAGGUGCGGUAUUGUACUGCUUAGUUAGAUUAAUAAGAAUGUUUUAUGCUACUCAAUCUCCCGUACCAAAUAUGAGUACUGGAGAUAUAGAGUUAGUUCCUAUACUAAGAGAAAAUUUCCUAUUUGUGCAUGGGGAAAGUGAAUGUAUAAUUUGCUUAGAAGAGUUUGCACCUAACGUCUUAUUGGCAGAUACGAUAUGUGGGCAUGCAUUCCAUUUAUAUUGUUUACGUAGGUGGAAUACAAACAGUUGUCCAAUGUGUCGUAGAAAUUUAGUUUAGUUUUCUGUAAAUAGAAUAUUGUAUGUAUUUGUUGAUUAAAAAAAUAUUGUAUGUAUUUAUGAAUAAAGGAUUAUGUUCGUCCAUCAACUUUGUUACAGCGCAUUAAUUCAUACAAUGUUGUUCUAAAAAAAAAGAAUAUUACGUAAUAUUUAACAAAGACUAUCCACAUAAAUAUCCCAAUAUAUAAAAGAGUGGGUUAUGUUCAAAAAAAUAUAUAUAUAAAAGAGUGGGUUUGAGGGUUAAAAGUCAACCAAUGAAAAAGAGUUAUUUGGCCACGUCACUCAUUAGAAAAACCACAUCAGAAUAAAAAAAAUUAAAUCUGUAUAUUGACUUAUUGAGUCACUGACGAUUCUCUUCUCCAGUUCUCUCCCUCUCGAUCCGUUCAGUUCUGCUUCUCCCUAAUUAAUAGCAUCCAUUUACAACUAUCUCUAUCUCUACCUGUUAAAUUUCCAAACCACUACAUGUCUCUCCAUAACUCUCUUUCUCCUACUCGGAAGUCACCUUAAAAUCGAAAGAAUCAGUGGAUGACUCAUUUACUGAGAAAAAGGCUACAAAUCACCAUAUACGCUCAUUCAAAGAAGUCCCAACGACGCUCUCCUACCGCAAAGCAGAGACACUCACGCUUCUCUUCGUACGACUAGCCAAAUUUACGGCGUUAUGUCCGGUUGUCCUGUUCUCAUCCAGACUUUCUGCAAGAGAUCCUCGCCGUUGCAGGAUCUCAUCGGAGCUACAAUUCUCAUGGUAUUGCCAAAAAGAAGCUUAAAUGAUGUACGUAAUCUCUUAAUAAAAAAAAGUUAUCUAAUUUCAAAUUGGGGAUUGAUUCAUUGUUCAAGAUGGUUACAUGAGUCACGUCGAUGAUUCUUUUCCAGAUUUUAUAUGCUGUACAUUUGGUUUUACUUACAAUUCCUCAUCCUGAAAUUAUGACCAUCUCUUUUUUGUUAGUUAUUCUCGAUUUAUUAAUUGCAGUUAUAUAUAUAUAUAUAUAUAUAUAUAUAUUGGACUACUUUGUUCAUCAAGAAUACAUGAUCUCAAAAAAAAAAAAAAAAAAAAAAAAAAUAUAUAUAUAUAUAUAUAUAUAUAUAUACAUGAUCUCUACGUAAGUUCAUGGCUCUUGAGUAAACAUAAUUGUCUUACCAAAAUAUUCCCUUUUCUGGUAUCUCAUUUACUUUAUUGUCGCUUUUGAUUUUGUUUUUUCCACUAUUAGGACAUAAUUACAGAGAGGCUGGACUUGCUGGUGUUUGGAGUUCUCAGUGGAUUCCUUUCAUUUUUAGCAUCCAUUUAUCUUAUUGACAGUCAUCUCUCUUGGCAUGUAAACAUUUAUUCUUGGGAAAACAUCUCUCUUUUUGAAUGUUUGAUCAGUCUUUGGAUGGAUUGUCUUCUGCUACUGUAGCCCGUUGCUUUCUGUUCUUGAUAGGUAAGUUAUGUAUCAUUAAGAAAAAACUUAAACAUCUAUAUGGGAUAAGCCUCUAGUGGUGGUUGGUAGAAAGUUGAUUGUUCUACGCUAUUGGCUAUUGGUAUGAUCUUUUCUCAUGGUUUUGAAGAUUUGGCAUCCCAAGCUUCGCUUAUAAGUUUAGGUAGAGAAGUAUUGGCAUUUGACCAAAAUCAUUGGUCUAGUGGUUGCCAUAUUUUCUUCAAUGUUCUAGUGGAUGUCAAUUCUAUGCAUUGCUUGGAGGAAAGCAACCAAGAUUUGCCACUUCCUUAGAGGUUGGAUAUUGUAACCAACUCGAGUUGUAGAUUUCGAAUUGUUGCCUCUUCGAUGCCAUCAGAAAUUAGUUAAGAUCAGUGUACUUGUGGAGGAUACUGACGAUAAACUUACAUUGAGUUGUAACCCAUUAAAGGAAAUAAGAUCAAGCUGUAGAUAUAUUUAGCACCCCUGUCAAAGAGCGGCUAUUUAUUCUGGACUUAUUUAACAUACAUAAUUAUUCGGAUCCAGAUAUUUUACAUGUCUUACUUUCUUCAACUAAUAUAAUAAAACAAAAUAAAAUAAAUGUAAAACAAAUAUUCUAGGCUUAUUUAACAUACAUAAUUAUUGGAUCAUACUUUAAUAAUACAAAUAAAAAUGGUUGGGUGUCGUAUCAAUAUUGUUGGAGAUGUUGCAAAAUUGACGUAUUCUAUAAUCAAUAACGUGUAUUUUUGUUAUAAAAAAUAUUGGUAAUAUAAUAAAAAUAAUGAUACAAUCUAGUGAAAAGAUUUAGAGUUGUGUGGACAUAAUAUGAUAUCUUCACUCGACACUUGAAUCAUGAUUUUUCAAUCUAUUUCAUAAAUUUUCUUUUCUUUUAAAGUUUUUAUUAUUUCCGAUUUUUUUUCUAACAAUGUGAUUAUGUUCUAAUUCUUGGUUUGAUAUGAAAAUUCUGUAAAGAAAAACUAUAUUUGGUAAACUAAAGAUUUGACUUUGUAUGUGAUAUUUUUUUUACCUCAGUCAUAACAAAUCACUAUUAUUUAUUGUCUUCAUGUAUAAAGGCCUCAACCAUGACUAAGUUUAGAAAGAUACGUAAUUUACAAUUUUUAAAAACAUUCUCAUUCCAACAUUUUCGUUGAUGUAAAUCUUAAUGAUUUUGUAAUUUUGUCUUUCAAAAUGAUAUUAUUCAGUAGUUGUAUCGAAGAUAAUUUCAGUUUACUAAUACACAAGUCAAAAAUACAUGAACUAAAACUGAGUUGAUUAAAAAAAUUAGUGUGAACAUAUCAAAUUCCUCGGUGAAGUUAACAAAAUAAUAUGUUAACACAUUAAUUGUUAAAUGAUUGUAAAACCGACACGUCAGCAUAAUCAAAUUGAAAUCGACGUGAAACUGACACGUGACAAAUAUAGUGUAAACGCAUUAAUUACAAAAGUUUAUAUGUUGCUAAAAAAAAAAGUUUAUCUUUUAAUAUAAGGGAUGGUUGACCAAAAAAAAAAAAUAUAUAUAUAUAUAUAUAUAUAUAUAUUAUUUUUGUGUUCCAGUGAGUUAAUACUCAUUUACCAUUAUCGAGAGAAAUAUUAUUUUAUUUUUUUGAACACACAUCGAGAGGAAGAUAAAACCAUAAAUAACAGAGAAAAAGUUUAUACUUUUCAGAGUAAAUUAGAGCGAAAGGUUUUCAUCUCUUUUCAACCUGAUCGGCUAAAUUUAAGUGAAAAUAAGAAUAAACAUGUUUACUCUAAUAUUUGCUGCGUUACUUUAUACCUUAUAAUCACACUCUAACUAGUUUUUUUCUUAAAUACUAACUCAAAUUGAUUAGUUGUUGACUCAAUUUGGUAUGUCUGACUUGCAUAAAAUUAAUAAGUUAAUAGUAUGACUGAAACUGUUGACUCAACAUGAACGUAACGUUCGUAAUAUAAUAUGACAAGCAAUAAACAAAUUAGUUGUUGACUCAAAUUGCCUUUAUAUACGACCAUCAAUAUCGAUGGAGAAAUCAAACUAAAAUAACAAUGGCUUUACAUCUACUCCUCGUUCUAUCUUCUUAUAUGUUUUUAACGCAAGUGGUUGAAGGAAACCUCGAUGUGAGAUUCUACAACUCCUACUGUGUGUUCAAUUUCUUAAGAUUUGAUAUUUUUCAAUUUUCAUUUGAAUUCAUUUUCUAAUCAAUUUUACAGGAUUUUGAUUGUGUUGAUGUAUACAAACAACCAGCUUUCCAACAUCCAUUGCUGAAACACCAUAAGAUUCAGGUAUGGUGGUCCUCUUGGUUCAAUUAAAUAUGAAAUAAUCUUUUAAGAGCAUGAUCUUCUAAAAUAAAUUCUAAUCCUUUUAUUGUGUGUAAAACUACAGGAAAUUUUCAACCUGGAUGAAAUUCUUGAUAGAAAAAAUGAAUAUGAAACGAAUUAUCAAAGUUGUCCAAAAGGAACAGUGCCACUCUUAAAACAAAUAAAUGGAACUAAGAGCGUUCAUCUUGACACAGUCGAGUAUCCGGGCCAACACGUAAAACUUCUUCUUUUCAUUAUGCACAAUAAGAUUAUACUACAAUUCUGAUCACUAACUCAAUUAGACAGUUUUCUGGAACAGAUAAAAUUUGACUUUCCCUUUUGUAGAUAGUCACGUUGUUGCCUUCUUAAUUACUACUAGCCUUGUUGAUUAUAUACAAUUGAGUCAAUUUUUUGGAAAUUAACUGUCAAUUUUGGUGAGUACAGUUUGCAACAAUCGAGACCGUUUUGGAUGGGAGCAUAUAUCGAGGAGCACAAGCUAACAUAAGUCUUCAUAGCUUAAAUCUGCAGGAAAACCAGUACAGUAAAAGUCAAAUUUGGUUAGAGAAUGGACCCCGUAAUGAACUCAAUAGCAUUCAAGUUGGUUGGGCAGUAAGUUACUAUCGAACUUUUGUUUUUUACAACUGAAAUAUGUGUUACUAUCAUUAAAAAAAUAAUAUAAAUGUGUUAUUAUCAUUAGAUUCACGUAUGAAUAUUUAAUGAACUUUUCACCUAGACUGUAGAAUAUUGAUUUUAAACUGUAAAAGAAUUUACUAUAAUUUUUUCUUCUCAUUUAAUUCUUACAGAUAUAUUAAUACAAAUGUAUAAAAUAUGUUAUAAAUUAAAUUUACAAUAAAAUUUUAUGGUUCCAACCAGUUAUCCACAUUAACAUGUAUUUUUGGAUAUAGUAUGUUUCAUCAUGUUUUUUAUAAUUUUCUUUAGGUACAUCCAAGAUUGUAUGGUGACACUCGCACGAGAUUUACAAUGUACUGGACCGUAAGUAAAUCAACUAUUUUAGCUAUUAUGUUUCUUUAUACAUUGCAAACCAUUAAACAGUUCGUGAUUAGUUAAAACCAAGUCUAGCCUUAGUCUUUCUCCUUCCAUAGUAUCUUGCCUUCUAAUUCUUUUUAGUAUAUCAGGCGGAUGGUUAUAAAAACUCUGGAUGCUAUAACAUACAAUGUCCUGGCUUUGUUAUUGUAACUCAAAUCCCUUGGAUUGGAAAAGCGUUUUCUAGAACCUCUAUUUAUGGUAGUAAUGAAUCAGUUUCUUUCACACCGCAAGUAUUCCAGGUAAAUUUCUAUACAAUAAAGCGCUUAUACAAUAAUGAUUUUUUUUUGAAAAAGAUGUUAAAAAUUCAAUUUUGUUUUAUUUCAUAAUAUUCUAAAAAAAAGUUCUUCUUUUAAAUUAAAAUUUUAGUGUUUUAUAUACAUUUUUACUAUUCACAAUAAGUUUUAAAUUUAUAAAAUAAUAAUUGUAUAUUGAUUUAGAAUUAUUUGAAAUAUUUAACUAUCGACAAUGAUAUAAUUAUAAUUAUGAUUGUAUUUUAUGAGCUUUUUAAUAAGUGUGAAGACACAAAACGGAUAUCUCUCGGGAAAAAAAAAUAUCUUAAUAAAAGUCAUCUUUUUAAAAAAGUAUUAUGCUUUAAAAUAAAAAAAAUACUCUUUAAAUAUUAAAAGUUUAAUGUUAAAAUACAUUUUCACCAUUCAUAUUAAUAAAUUGAAAAUUUCAAAUAAAAUCUGUAUACUUAUUUAAAAUUAUUUUAAAUAGUUAACUAUAGAAAAUGAUAUAUUUACAAUUAGAUUAAACCAUUCAGGCAUCUGAAAUAUGUUGAGAUGUGGCCUCAUAUUAUAUAUGUUUAGUUUUUAAUCCAGUUUCUCUUAGUGCAUCUAACCUUACUCCAAACAUCAUUUUGGAGUAAAAUAUGAUCCAACCUCACUUCAUUUUCAACUCCAAAAUAGAGUAAUGGCUAGGAUUACUCCUACAUAUUACUCCUCCAUUUUGGAGUUAAUUUUUUAUUUAUUUAUAGAAUUGUCUUUUAAAUUUUGAAAGUUUUUAUUUUGUACUUCAAAAAAAUAUUUUAAAAUAAUACAAAACAAUUAUAAUAUUUCAUAAGAUAUUAUUUAAUAAUUUUACAUAAAAGUUGCAUAAACUAAUAAAAAUACCAAACUAAACAUAAAAAUAUAAAAUAAAUAUAAAAUAAAAUAAGUGAUUUAAUAAUCUGGUAAAUCAUUUCUGGAAUUGCCAUGAUCGCUGAAGUAUUGUCCAAAUGAUGAAAAUGUUAAUUUUUUAAAAUUUUCUUGCCCAAUUUAAGAAAAUCAUGGAUAAAGAAACUCAUUAUUCAUUAGUUGAACAUUUGUGAGAAAAAAUAUUCUAAUACUCAUUAUUGAACCAAAAUAUUUUAUCGUAUAUAUAUUUUUAUGAUUUAUUGUACUUUUAAUAAGAAAUAUUUCAUUUAAAUAAAUUAUAUUUUGUGGAUUUUCUUAUAAACAUAAGAUACUUGGGGUUAAUCGGUAAGUUUUUGUAAGUAGAAGGUAUUAGUAACAAUUAUUUAUUAAAUAAAGAUAUAAUCUUUUUAGAAUAUUCAUUUGGAGUGAAAAUUGAGUAAUACAUUGGAGUAAAAUCUUACUCUACUUUGAUGUUGCACCAUUUUAGAGUAAAAUAUAGAGUAAUACAUUGGAGAUGCUCUUAGUUUUUCUUAUCUAAAUUCUAGAUAUUUACUUUUUGUUUCAAUAUUUAUUAGGAUGGCAUAAGUGGAAACUGGGGAUUAAAAAUACUCAACGAAGUAAUUGGUUACUGGCCCAAAGAAUUAUUUACACAUUUAAACGAAGGAGCAUCUUUAAUACGUUUUGGAGGAAACACAUUUAUGUCUCCGGAUGGAAUUAGUCCUCCAAUGGGAAAUGGGUAUUUUCCGGUUAUCGACUUUCAGAAAAGUUCAUAUUUUCUACAUGUCAAAGUUAAGAACUCGAACUAUCAAUUAGUUGAUAUUGAAGACGGGAAAACAAGACUUUAUUCAGAUUCGUACCAGUGUUAUAGAUUAACGUAUUGGGGUUAUUUCAAGUCGAAUGGAGUAUCCUUCUCCUUUGGAGGUCCAGGUGGAGACUGUGGUACUUGAUGUUUAUGAAUUUUCCAUAUGUAUUACCAACCAAAAUUAUCAAAUUUAAAAAGUAAAUAAAAUGUGACUAAACUAUGUUCAUUUUUCACUUUCACUCAAACUUCCUUGUGUGGUUGUUUUAAGACCUUAAAUACAUCAUCAUGCAUUCUUCAAAAUAAAAGAAACAACCACUCUACAUAAUCUAGUGCUCUCACCAGUCAAGAAGGCAAUCAAUGGAUCUCAAAUUUAUAAUUUAAGAAUCUGCAGGUCAUAUAAUAUAGAGAAUGUCUCUAACAAAAAAAACUCUUUAUUUGUACUGUAUAUUAGGACCAAGUAUUUGUAAAGCUUUAUCUAUAUAAGUAUUUAGAACCAAAUUGACUCUAACCCACUUCUACUUUUUUUUCUCUGUAAAAGUAUCUCCGACCGAUCAGGGCUAUAAAGAUAGAUGAGAUUUAAAUUUCCUAGCCUUGACAGACGGCAUAGCAUCACGAUCAGGGCUAUAAGGUAAGCCUCUCCAGAAGGCAUUAUCAUGUGCUCUAAGAUUUAUGCUUUACAUUUUUAGCUAUGGCUUUGAAAUUAUUGAAUCAAAUACUUAACAAAUCUCUUAUUCAAUCUCUCUAAAUGCUUUAGAAAAUUACUCAAAACUAAAGCUCACAAAACUCAUAUGUUAUGUCACACUUUGACAUCUCCACAUAUAUAAAAAUAAAAGUCCUAAACACACUAGAUAUAAGAUUUUUAGAUAACUCCUUAACAUCAAGGACUUUACUGUUUCUUAAUCCAUAACUCGGUAGAAAAUAGAUAACUUACUCUUCAAGUUAUUUCAAUCUUAAUCCAACAACUUAGACCCUCGAAAAAGUGAUUUUCAAGUGGUACGACAUUCCUGAGGUGAGUCAAAAGUGGGAUUCCUUCAGAGGUGGGGGGGAGGGGGAGGAGGAGGAGCGUAGAGCUGUAAGACCACAAGGAAAGAACUUAGAACAUUGAAUCUCCAAUGUACCAGAAUUUUUUUCCAAUAUCUUUUGUCCAAAUAAAUCAUUUAGGACCCUAUCUUACAUAGGGUUUGAUUGUUCGAAGCUGUGAUUUUAUGUUUUUUGCUCUAAGAUUUAUGCUUUACAUUUUUAGUUGUGGCUUUGAAUUUUUUUAUGUAGAUUUUUCUAAAGCAUUGAAUAAAAACUCUAGAGAAAUUGAAUUCCAAAGUUUCUACAGCUUCUUUCAAUCACCCCCAUAGAUUAGUAAGCAUAUUUAGAUAAAGUUCUAUAUGCUUUCAUUUACCCCACAUGUGAUUAAUAACACUCUUAAUUUGUUUGAAUGGGGCAAGAAAAAACAGGAGAUUAAUUCUGUAUGCAUUUCCACACCUCUUAAGUACACCUCUUCAGGAAUGAUCACUGAAGGAUUGACAGUAACAGCAGGUAGAAGAAGACCCUGCGUUUUGAGACUUCUAUCAACUUUGUUUCUUAUUUUUUCAACCUGAGGUGGACUAUGGUUUGAGAUAUUAUUUAUUGCAGAAGAUACAGAUGUUUGUAUCUCUCUGCUUGAAUUACCAGCCAAUUCCACAACAGCUGAAUAAUAAACCUUCUUUGACAGACCUAGGAUCUUAGCUGGUAAAGCCUUUGUUGAAGUGGAAGAACGCAGAAUAUAUAGAAUAAGAGCGAUUUUGUUUGGUCAGAACUUUGUUCCGUUUGAUCAGUGAAACCUUGAUUUGAAAGAGAAGAUUUGAGGACCAGUGUAACGACCCGCUUCCAAAGUUUUUUUUAAUUUUGAAGAAAAUAGAACACAAGAGGUUUUAUUCUAUAAAGAGUGUAUUUUCCUAAGUGUAGAAACACUUGUAAUCAUGAAAAUUGGGGUAAAAGAUGUAUUUUGACUAAGUGUCGGAUCUUAAAUGAGCUGAUGGAAUAAAGUCAGAACUGGCGGAGUGAUGGUAAACUGAUCAUGAAACGAUCAUAGCAUACAUAAAGAAAGAUCAAGACCAAUUAAGGAAUGUUCGGCUGUUGGACAAUGAAUGUUUCAAGUAAAGAAAAUUUGACUAGCCACCAUUGCAGGAUAAUACAAACGUAAGGUUGGAUCUACGUGAGUCAGGCAAAGAAAGAAUCGAAGAUAUCAAGUCAAGCCAUUGACGGUGAUAUUUGACCAAGCCAAAUAAGGAAAAUGACAUUAAGUGACCGGCUUGGUGAGGAAGUGACCUUAAUGGUUCUACACUAUGAGGUCAGGAAUUCGAUCCCAAGAAAAAGCAGAAUUAUACUAAUUAAUGGAGAGAAAGCUUACAAAAGAUCUGCAACAUGACGCAAGAAGUAACGUCAAGCGUGGAUCUCAUAGGACGUCUCAUGUGAUACAGUCAUGCAUGAGUCCUCAUAAGACAAGUAGAAUUAUCGGUUAUUGCCGGAACUCCUUAUGUUUUUUGGGGGAAAAAGUCCCAAAAUCGCUUUAUUUUCACUCUCCCUCUCGUUUUUUCCAGGUAAAAUAAGAAAUGAAAAAAUACGGUUCCAUGUAAUCCCGCAUGAUCCGUUUUGGGCCAUCCCGCAAAAGAUCCAGUCCCGUAAAGACCCGUCCUUCGAAGCCUGCAAAUUUACGGGCGUAGAAAACUUCGUCCCAAUAUCAUUCCGCGACAGUCUUUUACGGGUAAGGCCCGCGGUCCAAGUCCAUGAUUACAAUUUCUGAUAGUAAAUGAUAUGGUUUUAUAUAUUUCUUUUUUAAAACACUGAACAUAUAUGCAAAUGCAGAAUAAAAUCAUUUUUAUUUGCACAUUUCCUUUUCUUGUGGAAGAAAAGCAAAUUGAUUUUCUCUUCUUAUUCUCAUUAUUAAUUAAAAAGAAAAGAAAAAAACGAAACUAUCUCUUGUUCUGAUUACAACGUUCUUAUCAAAAGGAAGAACCUGACAAACCUGCCUAUAAAUAUUCGCGUUAUCUCCUAAGGCAUAUUCACUUUGGUUUAAGCAAAACAUUUUGAGAAAGAGAUGGAGAAGGAGAGGGGACAUGUAUUGGCAGUGCCAUAUCCAACCCAAGGACACAUUACACCAAUCCGCCAAUUUUGUAAACGACUCAUCUCUAAAGGUCUCAAAACCACUCUCACUCUCACCACUUUCAUCUUCAAAUCCAUCAAACCUGACCCAUCUGGUCCAGUCCCCAUAGCCACCAUCUCCGACGGCUAUGACGAUCACGGCUUCGACCCAUCUGGCUCCAUCCAUGACUACCUCCAAAACUUCAAAACCUUCGGAUCCAAAACCAUUGCAGACAUCAUCCGCAAACACCAGACAAGUGAUAACCCCAUCACUUGUAUCGUCUAUGAUGCUUUCAUGCCAUGGGCACUCGACGUGGCCCGAGAGUUUGGUUUAGCUGCAACCCCUUUCUUUACGCAGUCAUGUGCUGUUAACUUCGUUUACUAUCUUUCUUACAUAAACGAAGGAAUCUUGAAGCUUCCCGUUGUAGACUUGCCUUUUCUUGAGCUCCAAGAUUUGCCUUCUUUUUUGUCUGUUUCUGGAUCUUAUCCUGCUUACUUUGAGAUGGUGCUCCAACAGUUUACAAACUUUGAAAAAGCUGAUUUCAUACUCGUUAAUACCUUCCAAGAGCUGGAGCCUCAUGUUAGAUCUCUCUUCUUACAACUUUCUCAACCAUGUCGUUUUCUUGUUUAUGUCCUAAUUACUAUGUAUUUGUCCUAAUUACUCUUUUCCGUUACAGGAGAAAGAGUUGUUGUCAAACGUUUGUCAUGUAUUGACAAUUGGUCCGACUAUUCCAUCGAUGUACUUAGACCAAAGGAUCAAAUCAGACACGGCCUACGAUUUGAAUAUCUUUGAUUCAAAAGAUGCUGCCUUCUGCACUAGCUGGCUGGACACAAGGCCACAAGGGUCGGUGGUGUAUGUAGCAUUUGGUAGCUUGGCUGAGCUGAACAAUGCGCAGAUGGAGGAGCUUGCUUCAGCAGUAAGCAACUUCAACUUCUUGUGGGUUGUCAGAGGUUCAGAGGAGGCAAAACUGCCAUCAGGGUUUCUUGAGACAGUGGAUAAAGACAAGGGUUUGGUCUUGAAAUGGAGUCCUCAGCUUGAAGUUCUAUCAAACAAAGCCAUCGGUUGUUUCUUGACUCACUGUGGCUGGAACUCAACUAUGGAGGCAUUAACUUUUGGAGUUCCCAUGGUGGCUAUGCCUCAGUGGACCGAUCAACCUAUGAACGCAAAGUACAUACAAGAUGUGUGGAAGGCUGGAGUCUGUGUGAAGAUAGACAAUGAGAGUGGGAUUGCGAAGAGAGGGGAGAUUGAGUUUAGCAUUAAGGAAGUGAUGGAAGGAGAGAAGAGCGAAGAGAUGAAGGAGAAUGCGAAGAAAUGGAGAGACUUGGCUGUCAAGUCACUCAGUGAAGGAGGCUCUACAGAUGUUAACAUUGACACAUUUGUAUCAAAGGUCCAGAGCAAAUAAGUUAUCAGAUGAAGCAGCAAAUAUCUCUUCUAUAGUGUCUUAUUGUGUCAGUCUUUCGUUCAGUGCAAUUUUAUGUUGAUUCUUCAUUUGGUUACUUCCCAAUAUUACAAUGUUUUCUACCAUAUUGUCUUUGUUUUAAUAGAUUUUCUGCCUUCAUGUUUUUAUCAUCACUCUUCAGUACUAUCCAUUUUUUGAUUUAACUAUUUUGGCAUUUCAGUAACAACGAACAAGAACUAGGCUCAAUAGGCAGAUAUUGCUCCUAGUUCUCUUGCAUCACCAUGAAUGGCCAUCUUCUUCUGGCAUUUGACAUGUAGGAUUUCUAGCAACCAAGAGAUUUAUAUAUUCUUGCCUUCCACCUGAUUUGUUAAUUCUGUUACAACCCUGCCAUUAAGUUUGCGUCUGAAUCAUCAUCUACAUAUUAUUUGAAAGAGCCAAGAUUAUUAUUUUGAAACAAUCCCUUAACGUCAUCACUUUCGUCACUAAUCGAUGUCAUCUUAACAAAUAUUAAGCUGGGUUUGUUUUUGGUGUAAAUAAUCAAAUCACAUAUUACAAAUAAAUCAUUUAUUUUAUAAACGUGUUAUGAAUUUUUCUGGGAUAUGUUAGUAUUCUAUAUAAGCAACUAAUCUAUCAAAUAAAUUUUUAUUUCUCUUGAUACAUCAAAGUUGGUCAAACACAUAUAUUUUUCAUUAACAUUUUAUUUAUUUUAUAAACAUACAAUUUGUGUAAUAGAUUUAUAUUUGUGAGAUAUAAGUAUGUGAUCUAUUUGUGCGCAUAUAGCUAAUGUCAUAAUUUGUUUUGGUCAGAAAAAUUAUAUGAACUAAAUUAACGAUUAUAUUUGUAUCAUAUAUGUACAUGUAUAUACAACUGAUUUAAUAAAAAAGCAUAGUUGACGAUUUGAUUCGUUUAGCAGGUUGAUUGUUUAUAAGAAGGGAAAUUUGAUUCUAUAAUAAAAAUAAAAAAAAUAUAUAUAUAUAGAUAUAUAUCACCAACUAACCAUAUAUUUCUCUCUUUUUUUUUUUUACUUCCUAUCUUUCUCUACCCUCUUAUGACAAAUCUAAUAUUUUCUCCAAUAUAGCCAUUCAUCAAAUUAAUCCUUAUAAGAUUUGUCCUUUUUUUUAAUCAACAUAAGAAUUGUCUUUAGCUUCGCUUUUGCUUCAAAUGGUGUCUACUAGACAUUAAGCAAUGUCGUUACAGCUUACAACGGUUGGUCUUAAAUACUGAUCCACCAGAUAUAAAAAAAUUUGCAUAGACUAGCGUUGAAAUCAUCAAUCAAUAAAUAUAAAACAGAAAAAUUCAAAAUUGAUUUGGUGAAAGAUACAAAACAGUCACAUUCUAGAUAGCGAACUGUGAACUAGUGAAGAACACAAGAAGACGUGUUAUGAACAAAUCAUUUUUUAUUGUCGAUGUAUUCUUGUAGUAAUAUAAAUGUAAAGAAUCUUUUCACUUCUUACUUACUCCAUAUUCGGUUCUAUCUCUUAUUUUUCCAUCUCUUUAAGACUUAAAGAUCUUACUUCUCCAAAAAUAAUAAUACAGCGAAAAAACUUUCGAUUUUGUGUGUUUAUAUUUAAGAAACUAGGUGUUUUGCCCGCGAUGCGGGCUUAAACAUUUUCAUAAUUUUUAAAAAGUUCUUUGUACACUAUAUUUAUAAUUUUAGUAAAAAAUUUAUUUUAUUAAUAGUUAAUUAUAUAAUUUAUGUUUUUAACUUUUUACUAAAAUACUUUUUCAGAUAACGAUAUAAUAUAUAUAUAGAAAUUAUCUUUUUUUUAAUUAUAUUUUUAGAUUUUGGUUAAUUCAAUAUUUUAUUUUUAAUUAUAUAAUUAAGAAUUUUAUUUGAUUAAUAUUUAGUUAUAUAAUUCAUGUUUUUAACUUUUUACUAAAAGAUUUUUUCAGAUAACAAUACAAUAUAUACAUAAUUAUCUUUUUUUAAAUUAUAUUUUCAGAUUUUGGAUAAGUUUUUUUAUUAUUAAUAAUAAAUUAUCUAACCAAAUAGUUUUAAAUUCGUUUUUAUGUUUUAGUUAAUUUAUAGAUUUUAUUCAUUAAAGGUAUAAACGAUAUUAACCACUCUAACUUUUAACGUGAGAGCUCGAUUUUAAAAAUUUACUUCGCAAAUAAUAGUAUAGAUUACAUGUCAAGAAAUCUCACCUUUUUGAAAACAUGUAGAAACCAACUUCUGAACACAAACAUGAUUUCUCUUUUUAAGCAAAAAAAAACAUGAUUUCUCUUUCCAUAUACAGUCAUCGUGUCGUGUGUAUUUUUAAUUCAAAGUUGUUUAAAAUAUUAAAUAUUAUGAAAAUAUAUUUUUAAAAAAUAAGUAUUAUGGUUUUCAUUCUGUAAAAAUAAUAUACUGGACAUAUAAGCACAUGCAGAAUAAAAUAUUUUAUUAUUUACACUUCCUUUUCUUGUGGACAGAAAGCAAAUUGAAAUUUUCUUCUUAUUAUGUUUUUAUUAAAAGGAAAAGACAAAAACAAAACUACAUCUUGUUUUUAUUACAACGCUCUUAUCUUAAGGAAGAACCUGACAAACCUGUCUAUAAACUCAGCAGUAUCUCCCAAGGCAUAUUCAUUUUGGUCACAGCAAAACAUUUAGCGAGAGAGAUGGAGAAGAAGAGAGGACAUGUAUUGGCAGUGCCAUACCCAACCCAAGGACACAUCACACCAAUCCGCCAAUUCUGUAAACGACUCAUCUCGAAAGGCCUCAAAACCACUCUCACUUUCACCACUUUUGUCUUCAACUCCAUCAAACCAGAUCCAUCUGGUCCAGUCUCCAUAGCCACCAUCUCCGACGGCUAUGACCAGGGCUGCGAGUCACCUUACACCAUCCACGAAUACCUCCAAAACUUCAAAACCUUCGGCUCCAGAACCAUAGCAGACAUCAUCCGCAAACACCAGACAAGUGAUAGUCCCAUCACUUGUAUGGUCUACGAUGCUUUCAUUCCAUGGGC
This 18062-nucleotide long non-coding RNA is filed under the name Brassica rapa (field mustard). RNAcentral's name for it is "long non-coding RNA (BRAP_LNC001913)". The record is from RNAcentral. Lineage: Eukaryota; Viridiplantae; Streptophyta; Magnoliopsida; Brassicales; Brassicaceae.